Molecule: non-coding RNA, 23 nt
Filed under: Arabidopsis thaliana (thale cress)
Lineage: Eukaryota; Viridiplantae; Streptophyta; Magnoliopsida; Brassicales; Brassicaceae
Source: RNAcentral
AGAACAGAACGGACGUUGAUGAU